GACGAACGCUGGCGGCGUGCCUAAUACAUGCAAGUCGAGCGGGGAUUAUGCUUGAUCGCUUCGGUGAGACGGCAUAUAUCCUAGCGGCGGACGGGUGAGUAACGCGUGGGUAAUCUACCUCGUAGUUCGGGAUAACAGGCCGAAAGGCUUGCUAAUACCGGAUGAGUUCAUGCUUAUGCAUAUAGGCAUGAAGAAAGGGCUAGCCCGCUAUGAGAUGAGCCCGCGUCCCAUUAGCUUGUUGGUGGGGUAAUGGCCUACCAAGGCAACGAUGGGUAGCCGGCCUGAGAGGGUGUACGGCCACACUGGGACUGAGACACGGCCCAGACUCCUACGGGGGGCAGCAGUAGGGAAUUUUGGACAAUGGGCGCAAGCCUGAUCCAGCAAUGCCGCGUGCAGGAUGAAGGCCUUGGGUUGUAAACUGCUUUGUUACGGAACGAAACGGUGAGCUCUAAUAAAGACUUGCUAAUGACGGUACCGUAAGAAUAAGACACCGG
This 494-nucleotide ribosomal RNA is filed under the name uncultured bacterium. RNAcentral describes it as "bacterial SSU rRNA". It matches the Rfam family "Bacterial small subunit ribosomal RNA", at positions 28 to 497 of the family's 1533-position model. The record is from RNAcentral.